RNAcentral lists this long non-coding RNA (318 nucleotides) under Mustela putorius furo (domestic ferret). RNAcentral's name for it is "lncRNA (ENSMPUG00000026569.1)". Lineage: Eukaryota; Metazoa; Chordata; Mammalia; Carnivora; Mustelidae. The record is from RNAcentral.
AGGUCCCUACUAUAAAUAUUUUGGUCGACUGCUUCUCUUGCAGCUGACUCAAAUUGAGAUGGGAUGUCUGUGGAUCAUAGAAAAAGUUCUGGAGAUGGUGAAGAGAUGUCCAAGCAGAAUUGCCACAACCUUUGAUGGCAAGAAGCAGCUUAAGUUGUAGAAUCUUGGGCCUUUCUUCUGACCACUGUAAGCAUCAAGAGAACAAGAUAUUGCUUACAGAAAACUUAAGGCACAGCAAUGCUACCCAGCUUGAUUUAGCUUAAAGAAACCUUUCAUGACCUUAUAAACAAACAUAGCCCAGUGGGAACCCAAGUGGAA